AAGAGCACAAGCAAUGGGAGAAGGAGAAGCAGACUCCCCGCUGAGCAGGGAGCCCGACCUGGGGCUCAAUCCUGGAACUCCAACAUCACACCCCAGGCGGAGGGCAGACGCUUAACUGACUGAAAUACCAGGUGCCCCGAACCAGUCACAUGGAUCGCGACUCAGCGGAUGAUAACUAGAUGACCGUGAAGUUCAGUUCUACGUCAUGUCUGGAAGGUAGAAAGCCAGAAGCGUUGUGCACAGCAUUAGUGACUCUCUAAAGUGCUGUGAACAUCUUUAAGGCUUCUGAUGCACAUUGCCAGGUUAUCCUCCAGAAUGGUGUGUCCGUUUAUCCUCUUACCUGUGCAACUGACCAGGACUUGUUUGAAUAAUGUGCCGUGUUCCGCCGCAUGGGUAUCAGAAGUUAUGUCAUCAAUCCCCCGCCAACGAGCACUCAUCGUUUCUAUCACAAUGAUGUGAUGUACAUUGUUUUACACACGUGAUUUUGUCCCCUUAUGUCUGUAGAAUAAAUUUACAGAAAUUGGACUAUUGAA
Long non-coding RNA from Mustela erminea (ermine), 533 nucleotides. RefSeq lists it as uncharacterized. The transcript is spliced from 2 exons. The record is from RefSeq and is a predicted model, not a curated record. Lineage: Eukaryota; Metazoa; Chordata; Mammalia; Carnivora; Mustelidae.